RNAcentral lists this ribosomal RNA (492 nucleotides) under uncultured bacterium. Its description in RNAcentral is "partial 16S ribosomal RNA". It matches the Rfam family "Bacterial small subunit ribosomal RNA", at positions 29 to 507 of the family's 1533-position model. The record is from RNAcentral.
AGUGAACGCUGGCGGUAGGCCUAACACAUGCAAGUCGAACGGCAGCACAGUAAGAGCUUGCUCUUACGGGUGGCGAGUGGCGGACGGGUGAGGAAUACAUCGGAAUCUACUUUUUCGUGGGGGAUAACGUAGGGAAACUUACGCUAAUACCGCAUACGACCUACGGGUGAAAGCAGGGGAUCUUCGGACCUUGCGCGAUUGAAUGAGCCGAUGUCGGAUUAGCUAGUUGGCGGGGUAAAGGCCCACCAAGGCGACGAUCCGUAGCUGGUCUGAGAGGAUGAUCAGCCACACUGGAACUGAGACACGGUCCAGACUCCUACGGGAGGCAGCAGUGGGGAAUAUUGGACAGUGGGCGCAAGCCUGAUCCAGCCAUACCGCGUGGGUGAAGAAGGCCUUCGGGUUGUAAAGCCCUUUUGUUGGGAAAGAAAAGCAGCAGGUUAAUACCCCGCUGUUCUGACGGUACCCAAAGAAUAAGUACCGGCUAACUUCGUG